AGACCCGAAACCCGGUGAUCUAGCCAUGGGCAGGUUGAAGGUUGGGUAACACUAACUGGAGGACCGAACCGACUAAUGUUGAAAAAUUAGCGGAUGACCUGUGGCUGGGGGUGAAAGGCCAAUCAAACCGGGAGAUAGCUGGUUCUCCCCGAAAGCUAUUUAGGUAGCGCCUCGUGAAUUCAUCUCCGGGGGUAGAGCACUGUUUCGGCUAGGGGGCCAUCCCGGCUUACCAACCCGAUGCAAACUGCGAAUACCGGAGAAUGUUAUCACGGGAGACACACGGCGGGUGCUAACGUCCGUCGUGAAGAGGGAAACAACCCAGACCGCCAGCUAAGGUCCCAAAGUCAUGGUUAAGUGGGAAACGAUGUGGGAAGGCCCAGACAGCCAGGAUGUUGGCUUAGAAGCAGCCAUCAUUUAAAGAAAGCGUAAUAGCUCACUGGUCGAGUCGGCCUGCGCGGAAGAUGUAACGGGGCUAAACCAUGCACCGAAGCUGCGGCAGCGAACGUAUCACCCAAGACAACUUUACGGAGUUGACGAUUGACGGAGCGAAGCGACGUCAAAGCGUUCAUUAAAGUCGAGUUGGCUUAGGGAUACGUUCGUUGGGUAGGGGAGCGUUCUGUAAGCCUGUGAAGGUGUGUCGUGAGGCAUGCUGGAGGUAUCAGAAGUGCGAAUGCUGACAUAAGUAACGAUAAAGCGGGUGAAAAGCCCGCUCGCCGGAAGACCAAGGGUUCCUGUCCAACGUUAAUCGGGGCAGGGUGAGUCGACCCCUAAGGCGAGGCCGAAAGGCGUAGUCGAUGGGAAACGGGUUAAUAUUCCCGUACUUGGUGUUACUGCGAAGGGGGGACGGAGAAGGCUAUGUUGGCCGGGCGACGGUUGUCCCGGUUUAAGCGUGUAGGUGUGUGUUCCAGGUAAAUCCGGUUCACUUUAACACUGAGGCGUGACGACGAGGCACUACGGUGCUGAAGCAACAAAUGCCCUGCUUCCAGGAAAAGCCUCUAAGCAUCAGGUAACAUCAAAUCGUACCCCAAACCGACACAGGUGGUCAGGUAGAGAAUACCAAGGCGCUUGAGAGAACUCGGGUGAAGGAACUAGGCAAAAUGGUGCCGUAACUUCGGGAGAAGGCACGCUGACACGUAGGUGAAGUGAUUUACUCAUGGAGCUGAAGUCAGUCGAAGAUACCAGCUGGCUGCAACUGUUUAUUAAAAACACAGCACUGUGCAAACACGAAAGUGGACGUAUACGGUGUGACGCCUGCCCGGUGCCGGAAGGUUAAUUGAUGGGGUCAGCGCAAGCGAAGCUCCUGAUCGAAGCCCCGGUAAACGGCGGCCGUAACUAUAACGGUCCUAAGGUAGCGAAAUUCCUUGUCGGGUAAGUUCCGACCUGCACGAAUGGCGUAAUGAUGGCCAGGCUGUCUCCACCCGAGACUCAGUGAAAUUGAACUCGCUGUGAAGAUGCAGUGUACCCGCGGCAAGACGGAAAGACCCCGUGAACCUUUACUAUAGCUUGACACUGAACAUUGAGCCUUGAUGUGUAGGAUAGGUGGGAGGCUUUGAAGUGUGGACGCCAGUCUGCAUGGAGCCGACCUUGAAAUACCACCCUUUAAUGUUUGAUGUUCUAACGUGGACCCGUAAUCCGGGUUGCGGACAGUGUCUGGUGGGUAGUUUGACUGGGGCGGUCUCCUCCUAAAGAGUAACGGAGGAGCACGAAGGUUGGCUAAUCCUGGUCGGACAUCAGGAGGUUAGUGCAAUGGCAUAAGCCAGCUUGACUGCGAGCGUGACGGCGCGAGCAGGUGCGAAAGCAGGUCAUAGUGAUCCGGUGGUUCUGAAUGGAAGGGCCAUCGCUCAACGGAUAAAAGGUACUCCGGGGAUAACAGGCUGAUACCGCCCAAGAGUUCAUAUCGACGGCGGUGUUUGGCACCUCGAUGUCGGCUCAUCACAUCCUGGGGCUGAAGUAGGUCCCAAGGGUAUGGCUGUUCGCCAUUUAAAGUGGUACGCGAGCUGGGUUUAGAACGUCGUGAGACAGUUCGGUCCCUAUCUGCCGUGGGCGCUGGAGAACUGAGGGGGGCUGCUCCUAGUACGAGAGGACCGGAGUGGACGCAUCACUGGUGUUCGGGUUGUCAUGCCAAUGGCACUGCCCGGUAGCUAAAUGCGGAAGAGAUAAGUGCUGAAAGCAUCUAAGCACGAAACUUGCCCCGAGAUGAGUUCUCCCUGAGACUUAGAGUCUCCUGAA
Molecule: ribosomal RNA, 2229 nt
Filed under: Salmonella enterica
Lineage: Bacteria; Pseudomonadati; Pseudomonadota; Gammaproteobacteria; Enterobacterales; Enterobacteriaceae
Also listed under: 1 other name
Description: partial 23S ribosomal RNA
Rfam family: Bacterial large subunit ribosomal RNA
Source: RNAcentral